UAGUGAGAACCAGGCUCGUCUUGAGGCCCACCCUGUCACUCUCCCAUCCAAGGCCACACAGUAGGCUGAGGAUGGCAGACACUGCCCCACAGACACCUACAGGUACGUGUUUUUCCAGGAAGCUGCGGUUCUGGAACCUGGAGUUUGAGAGCCAGUCCUUCCUGUAUAGACAGGUACGGAGGAUGACGGCUGUGCUGGUGGCCGUGGGGCUGGGGGCUUUGGCACCUGCCCACGUGAAGACGAUUCUGGAGAGCCAAGAUCCCCUGGGCAAGCAUCAGACACGUGUAGCCCCAGCCCAUGGCUUAUUCCUCAAGUCAGUGCUGUAUGGGAACCUCGG
RNAcentral lists this long non-coding RNA (337 nucleotides) under Pan troglodytes (chimpanzee). Its description in RNAcentral is "long non-coding RNA NONPTRT000014". Lineage: Eukaryota; Metazoa; Chordata; Mammalia; Primates; Hominidae. The record is from RNAcentral.